RNAcentral lists this unclassified non-coding RNA (386 nucleotides) under uncultured Filobasidium. RNAcentral describes it as "partial contains 5.8S ribosomal RNA, internal transcribed spacer 2, and large subunit ribosomal RNA". The stretch from base 1 to 102 matches the Rfam family "5.8S ribosomal RNA", at positions 53 to 154 of the family's 154-position model. Lineage: Eukaryota; Fungi; Basidiomycota; Tremellomycetes; Filobasidiales; Filobasidiaceae. The record is from RNAcentral.
AUGCGAUAAGUAAUGUGAAUUGCAGAAUUCAGUGAAUCAUCGAAUCUUUGAACGCACCUUGCGCUCCUUGGUAUUCCGAGGAGCAUGCCUGUUUGAGUGUCAUGAAACUCUCAAACCCAAGUUUUGGAUUUCGAUCCAUGCUUGAGUUUGGAUUUGGAUGUUUGCCGGUGAUAAGCCGACUCAUCUUAAAAGUAUUAGCUAGAUCUGUCUCUAUGACUGGUUUGACUUGGCAUAAUAAGUAUUUUGCUGAGGACAUCUUCGGAUGGCCAGGACCUAGACUAUUGUCUGCUAACUAAACCAUCACUUUAAGUGCAUCUUCGGAUGUUACUCAUUGUGUAACUUUGACAUCUGGCCUCAAAUCAGGUAGGACUACCCGCUGAACUUAA